RNAcentral lists this ribosomal RNA (229 nucleotides) under uncultured bacterium. Its description in RNAcentral is "partial 16S ribosomal RNA". It matches the Rfam family "Bacterial small subunit ribosomal RNA", at positions 568 to 796 of the family's 1533-position model. The record is from RNAcentral.
UGCGCAGGCGGAAUGAUCAGUCAGUGGUGAAAACCUACAGCUCAACUGUAGACCUGCCAUUGAUACUGUCAUUCUUGAGUACAGUGGAAGUGGGCGGAAUGUAUCAUGUAGCGGUGAAAUGCAUAGAUAUGAUACAGAACUCCGAUAGCGUAAGCAGCUCACUAUACUGUAACUGACGCUCAGGCACGAAAGCGUGGGGAGCGAACAGGAUUAGAUACCCUGGUAGUCC